This is a non-coding RNA of Salmo salar (Atlantic salmon), 427 nucleotides long. The record is from RefSeq and is a predicted model, not a curated record. NCBI's taxonomy places the organism in Eukaryota, Metazoa, Chordata, Actinopteri, Salmoniformes, Salmonidae.
GCCUUUUUGAAAUCGGAUGAUGUGGUUAGAUUAACGAGAGUCUUGUCUUUAAAAUGGUGUAAAAUAGUCGUAUGUUUGAAAAAUUGAAAUUAUAACAUUUUUGAGGUUUUUGUAUUUUGCGCAACGCACUACCAUUGGAUAUUGGCGAGGCGUUGGCGAGGCGUCUGUCCUCAACAGGAUAGGUUAGACUAUAUUCAAUAUAAUUCAUUUAGCCUCAUUUGUUUUUCAGAGAAAACCAAUUCUCAGAGACCUACAGCCAGACAGGAUGAUCACAGACAAUAUGAAUUGGUGUCUAUGGGAGCGGUGAGCAGAGGAAUCAUGGUGGAUUCAGGAGAUGCUGGAAUCGAUUCUCAGAUCACUUCUGUACUGUUCACGUUCACGCCCUCAGGUAACGUUGAUGUGGAUACACAGGCAUUUGCAAAUAAAC